AUCGAAACCAAUUUUAAAAUUAUUCCAUUAACAAUUUUUACCCCUGCCGUAGCAUUAUCAAUUGGCUCGGCAAUAAUCAAGAGCAAUCUUUCAUACGCAAGCAAAAUGAUGGCCGCCGUGAAGUAUUAUGGAAUCCAAACCUCCACUUUGCCGACGGCAGAACCAUCAUGGCCGUACAUUUACCGUACAGAUGGAUCUCUUGGAAAUAGAAAGCAGAACAACAAAUCACACUCACGCAUAAACCACCCCAAAAGCAAAAAAAAAACAAACGCUCUCUCUCUGUUUUUCUGAUUGCUCUCACAGCUGUUGUUGCUCUUCCUUCCACUUCCACUACACCCGCUGAGAGAUCCAACAACAAAACUUGGCCGACUUUAUGCUGCCAGCUCUCUGCUG
RNAcentral lists this long non-coding RNA (393 nucleotides) under Drosophila guanche. The record is from RNAcentral. Lineage: Eukaryota; Metazoa; Arthropoda; Insecta; Diptera; Drosophilidae.